AAUCAUCAACCUCACCGUGGGGCUUGGACUUUGGAGCGUGCUGGCCUGAGGUCGGCUCCUCUUUAAAUGCAUCAGCGGAAAGCCAUUGAUGUUUCCCGUCAGCGUGAUAAUCCUGUUGCGCUACUAGGUCACAUCGGGGGUCCGCUUAUAAUGGUCUUCGGACAAUAUCUA
This 171-nucleotide unclassified non-coding RNA is filed under the name uncultured Amphinema. Its description in RNAcentral is "sequence contains ITS2". Lineage: Eukaryota; Fungi; Basidiomycota; Agaricomycetes; Atheliales; Atheliaceae. The record is from RNAcentral.